RNAcentral lists this ribosomal RNA (253 nucleotides) under uncultured bacterium. Its description in RNAcentral is "partial 16S ribosomal RNA". It matches the Rfam family "Bacterial small subunit ribosomal RNA", at positions 524 to 776 of the family's 1533-position model. The record is from RNAcentral.
UACAGAGGUCUCAAGCGUUGUUCGGAAUCACUGGGCGUAAAGGGUGCGUAGGCCGCACGGUAAGUCAGAGGUGAAAUCCUGGAGCUCAACUUCGGAAUUGCCUCCGAUACUGCCGUGCUUGAGGACUGGAGAGGAGUCUGGAAUUCCUGGUGUAGCAGUGAAAUGCGUAGAUAUCAGGAGGAACACCGAUGGCGAAGGCAGGUCUCUGGGCUGACACUGACGCUCAUGCACGAAAGCGUGGGGAGCAAACAGG